This 555-nucleotide ribosomal RNA is filed under the name uncultured archaeon. RNAcentral describes it as "bacterial SSU rRNA". It matches the Rfam family "Archaeal small subunit ribosomal RNA", at positions 103 to 664 of the family's 1478-position model. The record is from RNAcentral.
GACAUCUAACCUAUGGAAGGGGAUAACCCCGGGAAACUGGGGAUAAUACCCUAUAGACUAUGGAUGCUGGAAUGCUUCGUAGUUGAAAGGUCCGCCGCCAUAGGAUGGGUCUGCGGCCGAUUAGGUUGUUGUUGGGGUAACGGCCCAACAAGCCUGUAAUCGGUACGGGUUGUGGGAGCAAGAGCCCGGAGAUGGAUUCUGAGACACGAAUCCAGGCCCUACGGGGCGCAGCAGGCGCGAAAACUUUACAAUGCGGGAAACCGUGAUAGGGGAACUCCGAGUGCCCGUAAAAUCGGGCUGUCCACCAGUUUAAACAACUGGUGAAGAAAGGGCCGGGCAAGACCGGUGCCAGCCGCCGCGGUAAUACCGGCGGCUCGAGUGGUGGCCACUAUUACUGGGCUUAAAGCGUUCGUAGCUGGUUUGUUAAGUCUCUGGGGAAAUCUUCCGGCUUAACCGGAAGGCGUCUCAGGGAUACUGGCAGACUAGGGACCGGGAGAGGUGAGGGGUACUCCAGGGGUAGGAGUGAAAUCCUGUAAUCCUUGGGGGACCACCUGU